CCGUGCAUCCACGUACAAACAAUGUGAACUGUUCCCAAUGGAAAUGAAUGUUAUGAAGGCUUGCUGAUGGCGGUUCAGGAUUUUUAUCUCGAACUGAGUCUUCAUAACGGCUUCGCGAAAGCGAUAGCGAGUCCAUUCCCAUUGAGUUACUCACCAUCGGUUGUGAAACCUUAUUAACCCUAUGUACCUUUUGAACUAAACUAUUCUUCGAUACCACGAAGCCCUGUUGGCUUAGCCACGGCUGAAGGGUUCGUAGAAAUUGAUACCAAAUUAAGAA
Molecule: unclassified non-coding RNA, 277 nt
Filed under: soil metagenome
Description: partial internal transcribed spacer 1
Source: RNAcentral